RNAcentral lists this ribosomal RNA (496 nucleotides) under uncultured bacterium. RNAcentral's name for it is "partial 16S ribosomal RNA". It matches the Rfam family "Bacterial small subunit ribosomal RNA", at positions 28 to 506 of the family's 1533-position model. The record is from RNAcentral.
GAUGAACGCUGGCGGCGUGCCUAAUACAUGCAAGUCGAGCGAACGGACGAGAAGCUUGCUUCUCUGAUGUUAGCGGCGGACGGGUGAGUAACACGUGGAUAACCUACCUAUAAGACUGGGAUAACUUCGGGAAACCGGGGCUAAUACCGGAUAAUAUUUUGAACCGCAUGGUUCAAAAGUGAAAGACGGUCUUGCUGUCACUUAUAGAUGGAUCCGCGCUGCAUUAGCUAGUUGGUAAGGUAACGGCUUACCAAGGCAACGAUGCAUAGCCGACCUGAGAGGGUGAUCGGCCACACUGGAACUGAGACCCGGUCCAGACUCCUACGGGAGGCAGCAGUAGGGAAUCUUCCGCAAUGGGCGAAAGCCUGACGGAGCAACGCCGCGUGAGUGAUGAAGGUCUUCGGAUCGUAAAACUCUGUUAUUAGGGAAGAACAUAUGUGUAAGUAACUGUGCACAUCUUGACGGUACCUAAUCAGAAAGCCACGGCUAACUACGU